GACGAACGCUGGCGGCGUGCUUAACACAUGCAAGUCGAACGGUAAGGCCCUUCGGGGUACACGAGUGGCGAACGGGUGAGUAACACGUGGGUGAUCUGCCCUGCAUUUCGGGAUAAGCCUGGGAAACUGGGUCUAAUACCGGAUAGGACUCCUGGCUUCAUGGUUGGGGGUGGAAAGCUUUUGCGGUGUGGGAUGGGCCCGCGGCCUAUCAGCUUGUUGGUGGGGUCAUGGCCUACCAAGGCGACGACGGGUAGCCGGCCUGAGAGGGUGACCGGUCACACUGGGACUGAGAUACGGCCCAGACUCCUACGGGAGGCAGCAGUGGGGAAUAUUGCACAAUGGGCGCAAGCCUGAUGCAGCGACGCCGCGUGAGGGAUGACGGCCUUCGGGUUGUAAACCUCUUUCAGCUAUGACGAAGCGCAAGUGACGGUAGUAGCAGAAGAAGGACCGGCCAACUACGUGCCAGCCGCCGCAGUAA
This 478-nucleotide ribosomal RNA is filed under the name uncultured bacterium. Its description in RNAcentral is "partial 16S ribosomal RNA". It matches the Rfam family "Bacterial small subunit ribosomal RNA", at positions 28 to 523 of the family's 1533-position model. The record is from RNAcentral.